GAGUUUGAUCCUGGCUCAGAUUGAACGCUGGCGGCAUGCUUUACACAUGCAAGUCGAACGGUAACAGGCCGCAAGGUGCUGACGAGUGGCGAACGGGUGAGUAAUGCAUCGGAACGUGCCCAGUCGUGGGGGAUAACUACUCGAAAGAGUAGCUAAUACCGCAUACGAUCUAUGGAUGAAAGCGGGGGACCGUAAGGCCUCGCGCGAUUGGAGCGGCCGAUGUCAGAUUAGGUAGUUGGUGGGGUAAAGGCUCACCAAGCCAACGAUCUGUAGCUGGUCUGAGAGGACGACCAGCCACACUGGGACUGAGACACGGCCCAGACUCCUACGGGAGGCAGCAGUGGGGAAUUUUGGACAAUGGGCGCAAGCCUGAUCCAGCAAUGCCGCGUGCAGGAAGAAGGCCUUCGGGUUGUAAACUGCUUUUGUACGGAACGAAACGGCUCUGGUUAAUACCCGGGGCUAAUGACGGUACCGUAAGAAUAAGCACCGGCUAACUACGUGCCAGCAGCCGCGGUAAUACGUAGGGUGCAAGCGUUAA
RNAcentral lists this ribosomal RNA (538 nucleotides) under uncultured beta proteobacterium. Its description in RNAcentral is "bacterial SSU rRNA". It matches the Rfam family "Bacterial small subunit ribosomal RNA", at positions 9 to 544 of the family's 1533-position model. Lineage: Bacteria; Pseudomonadati; Pseudomonadota; Betaproteobacteria. The record is from RNAcentral.